Molecule: ribosomal RNA, 253 nt
Filed under: uncultured bacterium
Lineage: Bacteria
Description: partial 16S ribosomal RNA
Rfam family: Bacterial small subunit ribosomal RNA
Source: RNAcentral
UACGGGGGGGGCAAGCGUUGUUCGGAAUUACUGGGCGUAAAGGGCGCGUAGGCGGCCUACUAAGUCGGACGUGAAAUCCCUCGGCUCAACCGAGGAACUGCGUCCGAUACUGGUGGGCUCGAAUCCGGGAGAGGGAUGUGGAAUUCCAGGUGUAGCGGUGAAAUGCGUAGAUAUCUGGAGGAACACCGGUGGCGAAGGCGGCAUCCUGGACCGGUAUUGACGCUGAUGCGCGAAAGCCAGGGGAGCAAACGGG